Molecule: ribosomal RNA, 500 nt
Filed under: uncultured Myrionecta
Lineage: Eukaryota; Ciliophora; Litostomatea; Cyclotrichida; Mesodiniidae
Description: SSU rRNA
Rfam family: Eukaryotic small subunit ribosomal RNA
Source: RNAcentral
AGUGUCCAGACUAGCCAUGCACGUCUAAGUACAAACUAAAUGAUGGUGAAACUGCAAAUGGCUCAUUACAACGGUUAUGAUGUACCCGGGAGUUCCGAUGGAUAUUUCCAGUAACACUAGAACUAAUACAUGUCCCUGCGUUUAUUAGUUUCGCACAGUCCGUCGCUGAGUCAUGGUAAACAGUUGAUCGACUCGACGUCCCGGAACAGUUUCCGCCCCAUCAGCUUCGAUGGUUGGGUAUUGGCCUACCAUUGCAACAACGGGUAACGAGGAAUUAGGGUUUGAUUUCGGAGAGGGAGCCUGAGAAACGGCUACCACAUCUACGGAUGGCAGCAGGCGCGCAAAUUACCCAAUGCAGACACUGUGAGGUAGUGACGAGAAAUAAUAAAGCGGGACUUCUGUUUCGCUAUUAUAAUGAGGAAUAACCAAAGGUCAUUCCGAUUAGCAACUGAUGGGAAAGUCUGGUGCCAGCAGCCGCGGUAAUACCAGCGUCAGUAGCA